Molecule: ribosomal RNA, 336 nt
Filed under: Salmonella enterica subsp. enterica serovar Aberdeen
Lineage: Bacteria; Pseudomonadati; Pseudomonadota; Gammaproteobacteria; Enterobacterales; Enterobacteriaceae
Description: bacterial LSU rRNA
Rfam family: Bacterial large subunit ribosomal RNA
Source: RNAcentral
AAUUUGGGGGGACCUUCCUCCAAGGCUAAAUACUCCUGACUGACCGAUAGUGAACCAGUACCGUGAGGGAAAGGCGAAAAGAACCCCGGCGAGGGGAGUGAAAAAGAACCUGAAACCGUGUACGUACAAGCAGUGGGAGCCCCACCACCAAAGCAUUCUCUGGUGUUGAAGGCCCUGCAAAGCAGCAUCGCGGUGGCGGAGCGUCGUUUGCGACGCCCAACACACAAAACAAGCGGUGAGUGCUUUGGGGUGGGGUGACUGCGUACCUUUUGUAUAAUGGGUCAGCGACUUAUAUUCUGUAGCAAGGUUAACCGUAUAGGGGAGCCGGAGGGAAAC